GACGAACGCUGGCGGCGUGCUUAACACAUGCAAGUCGAACGGAAAGGCCCUGCUUUUGUGGGGUGCUCGAGUGGCGAACGGGUGAGUAACACGUGAGUAACCUGCCCCUGACUUUGGGAUAACUUCAGGAAACUGGGGCUAAUACCGGAUAGGAGCUCCUGCUGCAUGGUGGGGGUUGGAAAGUUUCGGCGGUUGGGGAUGGACUCGCGGCCUAUCAGCUUGUUGGUGGGGUAGUGGCUUACCAAGGCUUUGCAGGGUAGCCGGCCUGGGAGGGUGACCGGCCACAUUGGGACUGAGCUACGGCCCAGCCUCCUACGGGACGCAGCGGUGGGGAAUAUUGCACUAUGGGCGGAAGCCUGAUGCAGCACCGCCGCGUGCGGGAUGACGGCCUUCGGGUUGUAUACCGCUUUCGCCUGUGCCGAAGCGUUAGUGACGGUAAUGGGUAAAGAAGCACCGGCUAACUCCGUG
RNAcentral lists this ribosomal RNA (468 nucleotides) under uncultured bacterium. RNAcentral's name for it is "partial 16S ribosomal RNA". It matches the Rfam family "Bacterial small subunit ribosomal RNA", at positions 28 to 507 of the family's 1533-position model. The record is from RNAcentral.